Molecule: ribosomal RNA, 253 nt
Filed under: uncultured bacterium
Lineage: Bacteria
Description: partial 16S ribosomal RNA
Rfam family: Bacterial small subunit ribosomal RNA
Source: RNAcentral
UACAGAGGUCCCAACCGUUGUUCGGAUUCAUUGGGCGUAAAGGGUGCGUAGGCGGCGCGGUAAGUCGGGUGUGAAAUCUCGGAGCUUAACUCCGAAACUGCAUUCGAUACUGCCGUGCUUGAGGACUGGAGAGGAGACUGGAAUUUACGGUGUAGCGGUGAAAUGCGUAGAUAUCGUAAGGAAGACCAGUGGCGAAGGCGGGUCUCUGGACAGUUCCUGACGCUGAGGCACGAAGGUCAGGGGAGCAAACGGG